UCCUACGGGAGGCAGCAGUGGGGGAUAUUGCACAAUGGGGGGAACCCUGAUGCAGCGACGCCGCGUGGGCGAUGGAGCGCCUCGGCGCGUAAAGCCCUAUCAGCAGGGAAGAAGAUGACGGUACCUGACUAAGAAGCCCCGGCUAAAUACGUGCCAGCAGCCGCGGUAAUACGUAUGGGGCAAGCGUUAUCCGGAUUUACUGGGUUUAAAGGGUGCGCAGGCGGCAAUGCAAGCCAGGAGUGAAAGCCCGGGGCCCAACCCCGGGACUGCUCUUGGAACUGCAUGGCUGGAGUACAGGAGGGGCG
RNAcentral lists this ribosomal RNA (305 nucleotides) under uncultured bacterium. RNAcentral's name for it is "bacterial SSU rRNA". It matches the Rfam family "Bacterial small subunit ribosomal RNA", at positions 337 to 659 of the family's 1533-position model. The record is from RNAcentral.